GCCGUUGUAGCUCAGUUGGUAGAGCACUCGCAUGGUAAGCGAGAGGUCUGCGGUUCAAUCCCGCACAACGGCUCAA
This 76-nucleotide transfer RNA is filed under the name bacterium. RNAcentral describes it as "tRNA-Thr". It matches the Rfam family "tRNA". From Rfam's summary of the family: Transfer RNA (tRNA) molecules are approximately 80 nucleotides in length. The record is from RNAcentral.